This is a long non-coding RNA of Ictalurus punctatus (channel catfish), 840 nucleotides long. The record is from Ensembl. Lineage: Eukaryota; Metazoa; Chordata; Actinopteri; Siluriformes; Ictaluridae.
CGUGAUUAUGUGAUAAUCCAGUGAGUAAUGGAUAAAGCAUGAUGGAUGAACGUAAUUUGCUUUGGUUCAGUGAGUCUGGUGGCAGAGAGCUCCCCAAAGAAUUUCAAUUAAAGCUGCUAGAUUAGAGUAUUGCCGAUGCUCAUCAAGCGUCUAGACUUCGUAAACAAAACCUGAAUGUCGACAGCUUACAGUCAAUGGCAGGGUGAUUGCUAUGCGGUUCACACACCAGUCUUGCCAGAUGCAGACCCCCAAAGUUUGCCUGUGAUUGGCCAGCAGGGGAAAGGAGAGAGAGAGACCUGCAUCUGCACUCUACUCACGUCACCUUACUCUGCGCAGCAACACUACAAGGGCUGACGUCAAAUGCACCUCCUUCACUGAAGGCAAACGUUGGCAGUGAAUGAGAAUGAGAUGGAUGCAGGUGCCUUGGGAAUAAAAGAAGAAGGAAAGAGUCAAACCUAGAGCUGAUUUGGUAAACAGGACGCGAGAGUGGUACCAGAAUGAGUAAAUAGGUUGCAUGUACAUACUGAGAGAAGUACAAGAGAUAGAAGUGUGCAAUUGUUUUGUAUAAUCUUCUACAUAUGUGAAAGACGUUCCCGAUUACCUUCUCUCUUUACUACUCCACAUGACAGCAUCAAACACCACAUUUUCUAUUCAUUCCUCAUUCAUUCAUUCCUUAUCAGUAUGUGCUGAAGCAACAAAUACUGUAUCACAACAAUUCAUCUCUAAACAGCAUUAUCAUAUACACACGUGACACAUCUGAAGAUCCAUGCUCAUCAACCACUCGAAAAGUGCUAUUAUAGAAAUGAACAAGAAAGAAUAAAAAUAUUACCAAGUCUUACC